CAGUCGAGCGGUAACAGAUCCAGCUUGCUGGAUGCUGACGAGCGGCGGACGGGUGAGUAAUGCAUAGGAAUCUGCCCGAUAGUGGGGGAUAACCUGGGGAAACCCAGGCUAAUACCGCAUACGUCCUACGGGAGAAAGGGGGCUCCGGCUCCCGCUAUGGGAUGAGCCUAUGUCGGAUUAGCUAGUUGGUGAGGUAACGGCUCACCAAGGCCACGAUCCGUAGCUGGUCUGAGAGGAUGAUCAGCCACAUCGGGACUGAGACACGGCCCGAACUCCUACGGGAGGCAGCAGUGGGGAAUAUUGGACAAUGGGGGAAACCCUGAUCCAGCCAUGCCGCGUGUGUGAAGAAGGCCCUCGGGUUGUAAAGCACUUUCAGCGAGGAAGAACGCCUAGCGGUUAAUACCCGCUAGGAAAGACAUCACUCGCAGAAGAAGCACCGGCUAACUCCGUGCCAGCAGCCGCGGUAAUACGGAGGGUGCAAGCGUUAAUCGGAAUUACUGGGCGUAAAGCGCGCGUAGGUGGCUUGAUAAGCCGGUUGUGAAAGCCCCGGGCUCAACCUGGGAACGGCAUCCGGAACUGUCAAGCUAGAGUGCAGGAGAGGAAGGUAGAAUUCCCGGUGUAGCGGUGAAAUGCGUAGAGAUCGGGAGGAAUACCAGUGGCGAAGGCGGCCUUCUGGACUGACACUGACACUGAGGUGCGAAAGCGUGGGUAGCAAACAGGAUUAGAUACGCCUGGUAGUCCACGCCGUAAACGAUGUCGACCAGCCGUUGGGUGCCUAGCGCACUUUGUGGCGAAGUUAACGCGAUAAGUCGACCGCCUGGGGGAGUACGGCCGCAAGGUUAAAACUCAAAUGAAUUGACGGGGGCCCGCACAAGCGGUG
This 880-nucleotide ribosomal RNA is filed under the name Vreelandella aquamarina. Its description in RNAcentral is "bacterial SSU rRNA". It matches the Rfam family "Bacterial small subunit ribosomal RNA", at positions 59 to 934 of the family's 1533-position model. The record is from RNAcentral. Lineage: Bacteria; Pseudomonadati; Pseudomonadota; Gammaproteobacteria; Oceanospirillales; Halomonadaceae.